GCCCGAGUGGCGGAAUGGUAGACGCAGCGGAUUCAAAAUCCGUCGCCGCAAGGUAUGCGAGUUCGAGUCUCGCCUCGGGCACCA
This 84-nucleotide transfer RNA is filed under the name Exiguobacterium profundum. Its description in RNAcentral is "tRNA-Leu". It matches the Rfam family "tRNA". Rfam says of the family: Transfer RNA (tRNA) molecules are approximately 80 nucleotides in length. Their secondary structure includes four short double-helical elements and three loops (D, anti-codon, and T loops). Further hydrogen bonds mediate the characteristic L-shaped molecular structure. tRNAs have two regions of fundamental functional importance: the anti-codon, which is responsible for specific mRNA codon recognition, and the 3' end, to which the tRNAs corresponding amino acid is attached (by aminoacyl-tRNA synthetases). tRNAs cope with the degeneracy of the genetic code in two manners: having more than one tRNA (with a specific anti-codon) for a particular amino acid; and 'wobble' base-pairing, i.e. permitting non-standard base-pairing at the 3rd anti-codon position. RNAcentral also lists the same sequence under 3 other names. The record is from RNAcentral. Lineage: Bacteria; Bacillati; Bacillota; Bacilli; Caryophanales.